UUCCUGUUUCAUCACUCAGUCAGCGUGGGUCGGGCAUGUGAUGCUGCCCUCGCGCUCUUACUGUUGCCGGCACCCCAGCGCAGCACUGCAGGAGAGGAGACAGAGAGACAGCCCUCACUGCUGGGAGCUAAGCUCUCCGGCUGUCAGGGGGCGGAGCCAAUCUCAGGCAGACGUUACAGACAGAAGGCCCACACUCCGGAGGAGCAGAGGUGACAGGAAGUGUCGCCACCUUUCUCCUGGAUCUGAUGCUCCGCCCCCCUGUAGUGUCUCUAGGGAGAGACAUGAUGACAUGGGGGUUGAUGAGGAGGCAUUCCAGCUCACAGUGCAGCAGCCCAGUGAGUCCGGAGUCAGACCUCCGGUGACCUUUUCCCCACCUGCCGUCAGUCACAGAGCUUGAGGUGAAACAAGGCUCUCAUCUAAUGAACAAUUCACCCAAAACACCCCCGAUGCGCUGCAUGCAGGGAAGGUGUGGAACGUGAGAGACAUCGAUGGGAACGAACAAGUGACGGGGUAUACCUCCGUAAAGACAUCUGAUUAUUCAGAGAUGCGAAUUACAAUGGCAGCGCUGGGAACCAAUGAGCAGCCGCUACAAGACUAAUCAGUCUUGGGACUGUGCUAACGAGAGAGGACAAUACAGCGUUACUGCCGACAUACUAGGACACCAGCUUCACUCUAUUCCUAUGAGGAUGGAGGGAAUACAUGAUCCUGAACACUGGGAUCCCGACAGGCGGUAUAUUAACCACAUACCGGAUGGAGGUAUGGACAGCUGCAUACACCCAGGAGAGUCAGGAGAUUGGUAAGACAGACCACAGCAAUAUACCAAUUAAAGUUUAGGAUGCCAUUUGCAAGAACUUUUAAAUGAACCGAUAGAUCUUGCUAAACCCACGGAGGACAGAUCCACCUCAUGAGGGUAAUAAAAAUCUUAUUACAUAAAAUCUGUCCCCAUCACAACACGUGGAAUAUCAUAAAUGGACUUUUUGAAGAUUGACACAUACCAUGGCAAUAUCUGGACUUUUCGAUAGGGCUAUUUGAGAGUGAAUUGUAUGUGUAUAUGUGCAGUGUUUA
This is a long non-coding RNA of Pseudophryne corroboree (corroboree frog), 1065 nucleotides long. RefSeq lists it as uncharacterized. The transcript is spliced from 3 exons. The record is from RefSeq and is a predicted model, not a curated record. NCBI's taxonomy places the organism in Eukaryota, Metazoa, Chordata, Amphibia, Anura, Myobatrachidae.